RNAcentral lists this ribosomal RNA (468 nucleotides) under uncultured bacterium. Its description in RNAcentral is "partial 16S ribosomal RNA". It matches the Rfam family "Bacterial small subunit ribosomal RNA", at positions 28 to 507 of the family's 1533-position model. The record is from RNAcentral.
GACGAACGCUGGCGGCGUGCUUAACACAUGCAAGUCGAACGGAAAGGCCCUGCUUUUGUGGGGUGCUCGAGUGGCGAACGGGUGAGUAACACGUGAGUAACCUGCCCUUGACUUUGGGAUAACUUCAGGAAACUGGGGCUAAUACCGGAUAGGAGCUCCUGCUGCAUGGUGGGGGUUGGAAAGUUUCGGCGGCUGGGGAUGGACUCGCGGCUUAUCAGCUUGUUGGUGGGGUAGUGGCUUACCAAGGCUUUGACGGGUAGCCGGCCUGAGAGGGUGACCGGACACAUUGGGACUGAGAUACGGCCCAGACUCCUACGGGGGGCAGCAGUGGGGAAUAUUGCACAAUGGGCGGAAGCCUGAUGCAGCAACGCCGCGUGCGGGAUGACGGCCUUCGGGUUGUAAUCCGCUUUCGCCUGUGACGAAGCGUGAGUGACGGUAAUGGGUAAAGAAGCACCGGCUAACUACGUG